RNAcentral lists this ribosomal RNA (253 nucleotides) under uncultured bacterium. Its description in RNAcentral is "partial 16S ribosomal RNA". It matches the Rfam family "Bacterial small subunit ribosomal RNA", at positions 524 to 776 of the family's 1533-position model. The record is from RNAcentral.
UACGGGGGGUGCAAGCGUUACUCGGAAUCAUUGGGCGUAAAGGGCGCGCAGGCGGCCAAGUAAGUCAGAUGUGAAAGCCCGGGGCUCAACCCCGGAAGUGCAUUUGAUACUGCUUGGCUUGAGUAUGGGAGAGGGAAGUGGAAUUCCUGGUGUAGAGGUGAAAUUCGUAGAUAUCAGGAGGAACACCGGUGGCGAAGGCGACUUCCUGGACCAAUACUGACGCUGAGGCGCGAAGGAGUGGGGAGCAAACAGG